RNAcentral lists this ribosomal RNA (253 nucleotides) under uncultured bacterium. RNAcentral's name for it is "partial 16S ribosomal RNA". It matches the Rfam family "Bacterial small subunit ribosomal RNA", at positions 524 to 776 of the family's 1533-position model. The record is from RNAcentral.
UACGGGGGGGGCAAGCGUUAUCCGGAUUCACUGGGUUUAAAGGGUGCGUAGGUGGGUAAGUAAGUCAGUGGUGAAAUCUCCGGGCUUAACCCGGAAACUGCCAUUGAUACUAUUUGUCUUGAAUACUGUGGAGGUCAGCGGAAUAUGUCAUGUAGCGGUGAAAUGCUUAGAUAUGACAUAGAACACCAAUUGCGAAGGCAGCUGGCUACACAAAUAUUGACACUGAGGCACGAAAGCGUGGGGAUCAAACAGG